GCAUUGGUGAUUUAGUGGUAGAAUUCUUCCCUUCCAUGCAGGAGACCUGGGUUCAGUUCCUGGUCAAUGCA
Molecule: transfer RNA, 71 nt
Filed under: Loxodonta africana (African savanna elephant)
Lineage: Eukaryota; Metazoa; Chordata; Mammalia; Proboscidea; Elephantidae
Rfam family: tRNA
About the family: Transfer RNA (tRNA) molecules are approximately 80 nucleotides in length. Their secondary structure includes four short double-helical elements and three loops (D, anti-codon, and T loops). Further hydrogen bonds mediate the characteristic L-shaped molecular structure. tRNAs have two regions of fundamental functional importance: the anti-codon, which is responsible for specific mRNA codon recognition, and the 3' end, to which the tRNAs corresponding amino acid is attached (by aminoacyl-tRNA synthetases). tRNAs cope with the degeneracy of the genetic code in two manners: having more than one tRNA (with a specific anti-codon) for a particular amino acid; and 'wobble' base-pairing, i.e. permitting non-standard base-pairing at the 3rd anti-codon position.
Source: Rfam by way of RNAcentral